RNAcentral lists this long non-coding RNA (3450 nucleotides) under Podarcis lilfordi (Lilford's wall lizard). Lineage: Eukaryota; Metazoa; Chordata; Lepidosauria; Squamata; Lacertidae. The record is from RNAcentral.
CAUAGAAAUGCACUGCAGCAGUGAUUGCAUUUCUAUUUGUUGUCUGAAACCAUCUGGGAUCUGUGCUUGGAACUGCUUAAGAACAACCUGUCACUGCUGAGCUGUGGCUUGCUUCUCAGAGUGAAGUGCCUGGAUGAAAGCACCAUGAUUAGGUAAAAUAAACCGUUAGGACUAUUGUUGAAAACAUUUUAUUAUCUGGAACUGAAGCCGUAGCCAUUAGCAGAAGAGCAGGGGAGGUGGGAGGAAGUGACUGAAAAUAAUUUCUUUACUCAGAAUUUUACUAAGCAGAGUGUAUGGAAAUCCCAUAAACUUGGAGGGCUUUGCUUUAUUGACACAAUCUUUCCAGCUCUUUAGAUUGCAGUAUAAAGUUAUAUUUAGUUCUUCAGAUCAUAAUGUUCCCAACAGUGUACAACCCAAAUUCAGCAAAGCAUUUGGGCAUGUGCGUAACUUCAGGCCCUUAAGUAAUCCCAUUGCUGGACUGCAAAAUACUUAAGCAUGCCAGUGCGUGGGCUUCUUCUCAUUUUGCACUUUAUUGACUGGCUCAGAGGUAAGCCCUAAUACAGCUUUAUGUAUGCCACAGAGAUUCUCUUUAGGCUGAGAGAGCUGUGGCAUAUACAUUUUUAAGCAAUGGACUUAGCUAUUUUUAGAGGGUUUGUUUCCAUUUUCUAAAUGCAUCCGAUCAAUAGAUGUUUUGUACAACUCCAGAAAUACAACAUAUGCCUAUUUAUUUCAUUUUUAUUUGAAGAAUGUGUGCAGUGCUAUCUAGCAAGAAGGAGAGCCCCUAAUGAGCAACUAUAUAUAAGACAGUUUCCGUCUGAUUCUUUGGAAUCCAGAAGGAACAAACAAGCUUCCUCCCACUGGCUCUAAGAUUUCUUUUUGUACAUGGUGUUGGAAACUUGUGCAUGCAGUAAUGGCACUAACAGAUGGGAGGUUUAAUGCAUGAAACCAGACCUUUUGAAUAAACAUUUGCUGAAAUUGUUCCUUUGUGAUAAACAGGUCCAAGGUGGAAGGAGCACUGGUCUGGCACCAGAUGUCUUAACAGAGCAGUAUGAGCACUUUCAGACAGUUGCUGGUGAGGCUCAGGUGUGUCAAAUCACCCACAGCCCACAAAAGGACAGUGCCCAUCCCUGCAGUAGGUUCAGUAGAAUCAGUAGUUUCAGAGUAGGUAGCACAACAAUCACCACUCCAAAACAGCCAUAGUAGCUAUAAACACACAGGUUAUUUGUUACCUUUGAACAACAAACCAACACCACCAGAACUGGCUUAUGAAUAUAAAGAACAUUUUUACUGGAAUAAGUAUAUACCUUCAUAAACCAACUAGACAAUGAGCAAACUAAAGUGCAAUGUGCAUAAUCAAGCCUGGAGAUACUCAUAAACAUAGAAUGUACCAGUGUCUCUCUUGUUGCUAUACUGGUUAUGUAUGCGAUAAAUAUGUCAUAACACAGCUGUGCUUGUGGGAUUUUAUAUGUUGGCAGUACUACCCAUGCAAUCAGGACUAGAAUUUCUGAGCAUAGCAUAGCAUAGCGCGGGUGGCACUGUGGGUUAAACCACAGAGCCUAGGACUUGCCGAUCAGAAGGUUGGCGGUUCGAAUCCCCGGGAUGGGGUGAGCUCCCGUUGCUCGGUCCCUGCUCCUGCCAACCUAUGGUGACUUCAGCAGUAAGCCAGUUCAGUCUUACUUGCUUUAUCAGCUCCUAGAGUGUUAUCAUAAGUCGGGUAGUAAUAACCACUUCGGCUGUCAUACAGCAUGAAAUUGAAACCUAUGAUUUUUUAAAACACUUUUCCUAAAUGGCCAAGCAAUAUUGAAAUCAUUUCUGUGGAGUGUAAAAUAUCGAGUUUUUUUUAUUUCAUAAAGGAAUAAUUGCACAGUGCAAAAGUUUAAAAAUGCAGUUAAGAUCCCAACUUGCAAAGUUUGCCACAGAAGCAGGGCUGCUGUUAACAGGCUGAAUAUUUACAGGUUUAAUAAUGGCACCAAAUCCCUUUCUCUGAAGUUGUUACCUACAAACCUGGAGCUGAGACAGUGAGCCAUAUAAUCAAAAGCUUUGCAAAAAAGAGGAAGCAAAGAGAAAAUGUGAACCUUCAGUUCUCUGGGGAUAAGAUCUAUUGUCUGGACCAAAAGUUUCACACUGUUCCUCUUUUGUCACUGCCCUUUUCCUCCAUCAGUGGAGUCACUUUAAGCUGCAUUUAGGAACAUAGGAAUCUGACUUAUACCAAGAGAGUCAAUUGGUCCAUUUAGCUGAUUAUUGACUACACAGACUGGCAGUGGCUCUUGUCAGGCAACAGUCUCGCCCAGCCCCUACCUAGGCUUUGUACCCAUAGCAGGUAUCUAUGAUUGAAUCAUCUGUACACACCAACAUUUCCUCAUCUAGUUGUAAUAGAUUGAAAUCCUAACCUCACUGAAUUCAAUAGGGCUUACUUUUGAGCAGACGGGGUUCAGAUGGCACUGCUACUUGCUACACAUAGCAAAAGAUAAGCUAACAACAUUUGCAAUCCUACAUGAAGGGAAAUUGAACCCAUGUUAUCAUUUCCAGAAGUGAGUAAAUUACUCCAUGCAGGACACUGGGCAAUUCAUACUAUGAAGUAGUGUCGGGCAGCAGAAAACAUGGCAUAGAAUUGUUCUUAUAAGAGGGAGUUCAUGCAAGAUCACCUAUUGUCUGUUAACUGAAGUUUGAUCUAUGUAGGCGCUUCCUAAUCCUUCUCUCUCAUUAAUAACCAAUGUAAACAGUUUUGUGUGCUUUAGUUGAGAUUUGAUUUAGAGAGGUACAUGGUGCGGAGGAAGACGUUGGUUCACUCAGUUAAUUUUAAUUGUAUAUAAGUAGUUGCAGAACUGAUCCAGGGAUUGAAGGGAGAAAAAGGAAGGAAAGUAUGUUGGCGAUGAAUGGGUCCUAACAAAUAAGCAGGCAUUUACCAUAGGUGGAUUAUUUGCAGAAGGAGGGGAAAAUGUUGCUGCAUAGUAUGAACUUGUCCUAUUUUCAGACGGCUGUUAAGUAAGCCUCCAAUGACUAACUGAACUUUUAACUAAAGACUGCAAUAAUUCACUUAUUCAUUCAUCUGCUGUGUAUAUAUUGUCAUUUAUUACCACAUAUUUUGUAUUAUGUCUCAUUUGCUCCAUCUCCUAUCAGAGACAGUUGAGAUGGAUGAAUGGCACCAAAUCUCUCAUUCCUGUUUGUCUGACAAUUCUGCGUGGAAUAUUCAGGGGAGGGGUAUACAUGUAUAUAUCCAGUUGGGAAGCAUGUGGUUGCAAGUGGCUACAUACUCUGCUAUAUCCUCUUAUGAAGAAAACACAAAAUAUCUUUAACUGUGCAUAGGCUUCCUCAGUUGACUGGGCAAUUGUGCUUUCAGGCUAAAGGGAAGGAAUAUACAAACACAGUAAGUUCCAAGCUGAAGGAAACAAGCAAGCUCCCCUCUCCUCUUCCAUGAACAUCUUCCAGUUUCAGUUGGAAAUAAUACCA